GAUGAACGCUGGCGGCGUGCCUAACACAUGCAAGUCGAGCGAACAGAUGAGGAGCUUGCUCCUCUGACGUUAGCGGCGGACGGGUGAGUAACACGUGGAUAACCUACCUAUAAGACUGGGAUAACUUCGGGAAACCGGAGCUAAUACCGGAUAAUAUAUUGAACCGCAUGGUUCAAUAGUGAAAGACGGUUUUGCUGUCACUUAUAGAUGGAUCCGCGCCGCAUUAGCUAGUUGGUAAGGUAACGGCUUACCAAGGCAACGAUGCGUAGCCGACCUGAGAGGGGGAUCGGCCACACUGGAACUGAGACACGGUCCAGACUCCUACGGGAGGCAGCAGUAGGGAAUUUGCAGCAAUGGGCGAAAGCCUGACGGAGCAACGCCGCGUGAGUGAUGAAGGUCUUCGGAUCGUAAAACUCUGUUAUUAGGGAAGAACAAAUGUGUAAGUAACUAUGCACGUCUGGACGGUACAUAAUCAGAAAGCCACGGCUAACUACGU
Molecule: ribosomal RNA, 496 nt
Filed under: uncultured bacterium
Lineage: Bacteria
Description: partial 16S ribosomal RNA
Rfam family: Bacterial small subunit ribosomal RNA
Source: RNAcentral